UAGAGAGUGGUGGAUCCCUUCA
Molecule: non-coding RNA, 22 nt
Filed under: Mus musculus (house mouse)
Lineage: Eukaryota; Metazoa; Chordata; Mammalia; Rodentia; Muridae
Source: RNAcentral